GCAUGUGAGUGGUGAUGGAUUUGUAUGUCGCGGUGGGCUCCCUGCUAUUGUGCAGUAGACCACCGACGCCGCAAGUCUCUUCAAUGGCACUCUGUUUGAAUGGAGAUGCGUGUGUUGCCUGUACAAUCUACCUAGUUCCUUUGGAAAUAGACAUUGUUUACCUCGCUUAUCCACUUCUCAUGUCCUAUGUGAAUGAGGAGUGUCGAUGUCCGUGCACCUUGUGUGUCCUCGAACGAUUGCAUGUCUCAGACCUCUCGUUUCGAGUGGCUCCAGUGUUCACGUGAGUGCUCUUGGAUGCAGUGGAUAAGAAUGUACCAUGGGUCUUCGGACUCUUGGCACAUGAUCGGUUGGCUUUCUUAGUCGCCCUUUGACGGAUGACGGCCUUCCCAUCGGUGCCCCCUUUCCCUUGUGGUAAUGGGUCGGCAUGUUGGGCUUGGCGUCGUAGAGGACGUGCUACC
This 458-nucleotide unclassified non-coding RNA is filed under the name Musa acuminata (dwarf banana). RNAcentral describes it as "partial external transcribed spacer". RNAcentral also lists the same sequence under 1 other name. Lineage: Eukaryota; Viridiplantae; Streptophyta; Magnoliopsida; Zingiberales; Musaceae. The record is from RNAcentral.